RNAcentral lists this ribosomal RNA (697 nucleotides) under uncultured archaeon. Its description in RNAcentral is "bacterial SSU rRNA". It matches the Rfam family "Archaeal small subunit ribosomal RNA", at positions 205 to 903 of the family's 1478-position model. The record is from RNAcentral.
UAGGAUGGGACUGCGGCCUAUCAGCUUGUUGGUGAGGUAAUGGCCCACCAAGGCUAUUACAGGUACGGGCUCUGAGAGGAGAAGCCCGGAGAUGGGUACUGAGACACGGACCCAGGCCCUAUGGGGCGCAGCAGGCGAGAAACCUUUGCAAUGUGCGCAAGCACGACAAGGUUAAUCCGAGUGUUUCCUGCUAAAGGAAUCUUUUGUUAGUUCUAAAACCACUGAUGAAUAAGGGGUGGGCAAGUUCUGGUGUCAGCCGCCGCGGUAAAACCAGCACCUCAAGUGGUCAGGAGGAUUAUUGGGCCUAAAGCAUCCGUAGCCGGUUCUGUAAGUUUCCGGUUAAAUCCACUAGCUCAACUAAUGGGCUGCCGGAAAUACUGCAGAACUAGGGAGUGGGAGAGGUAGACGGUACUCGGGAGGAAGGGGUAAAAUCCUUUGAUCUCUUGAUGACCACCUGUGGCGAAGGCGGUCUACCAGAACACGUUCGACGGUGAGGGAUGAAAGCUGGGGGAGCAAACCGGAUUAGAUACCCGGGUAGUCCCAGCUGUAAACGAUGCAGACUCGGUGAUGCACUGGCUUUUGGCCAGUGCAGUGCCGCAGGGAAGCCGUUAAGUUUGCCGCCUGGGAAGUACGUACGCAAGUAUGAAACUUAAAGGAAUUGGCGGGGGAGCACCACAAGGGGUGAAGCCUGCGGUUC